AUAAAACGAUGGAGCAAGCACCUAAAUCAAAGUUCCAUUAUCAAAAGGCACAAAGUAGGUGCUUGCCCUACUACAAAAGCAAUACAGUGAGGAGAGAGUCCUGAAAACUAUAGCAUAGAAACAAACAGGUAGCUAACAAGCUAUCUAAUUUCCCACUUCAAAGUUUCCAUUGGUUUAUACAAGUCCACAUCUGGGAUUACUUUUAACUUUCUGCAACAAUUUAGCAUUUGGAAGAUCAAAAUUUGGACUUUUUCUAGAGCUGAGUUGGAUGCACAGCUCAAAAUACCAAAGAGUCUACCCCUGCCAGAGAUUUUACACGUUGCUCUUUAGGGGGAGCUUCUCCUGCCAUUGGGCUCAUAAACUUUAUUUUUAUUCUAGAUUUAUUAAUUUAAUAUUAUAUAAAUAAUAAAAAUAAAUUAAGUAUUUAUUAAUAAUAAUUAUAUAUUUAUAUCACGUAUAUACCUAUUCCCACAAGUAUACUAAAAUAACAUUCACCUCGGCAUCUUGAAUCACAGCCUUAAUCCUGGUAACGGUGUCGUUGAGCUUCCGUAAUUGAUCCUUGAGCCCCCCACCGUGGUGCGGCCUCCUGAGCAGUCAGGGAACAUAGCCUGUUUAUUAUUUCCUCUGUAAUAUCGAAAAGCACAACCGCAGCCAUUAUUUUUUCGUAAAUGGUUUGAAAUGAUGAACACUUUGUGUGCUAAAAGGGUUUUGUAUACUGCAGAAAAUAAUGCGUAUACUGUUGAAGCAACAGCAGAAAUCCUUCAAGGGGGCUAUUAUUAAUUGCAGGAAGCUAAUUAAGGAUAAGGGGCAAGGGGGAGAGGUGGAGGACACAGUCUAGCCAGCCAUUUA
Molecule: long non-coding RNA, 849 nt
Filed under: Populus tremula
Lineage: Eukaryota; Viridiplantae; Streptophyta; Magnoliopsida; Malpighiales; Salicaceae
Description: long non-coding RNA (PTRE_LNC002467)
Source: RNAcentral